RNAcentral lists this long non-coding RNA (1065 nucleotides) under Phasianus colchicus (ring-necked pheasant). Its description in RNAcentral is "lncRNA (ENSPCLG00000003899.1)". Lineage: Eukaryota; Metazoa; Chordata; Aves; Galliformes; Phasianidae. The record is from RNAcentral.
AUCAGAGUAAGUUAAAAUUUCACAACAGGAAAUGUAGAGAGGCAAAUCAUACUCCCUGUGCACCACUCGAGUAACCACACUGUGCUCUGGGGAGUCCCGGGGCCAAAGGAUCUUCCCUCCCAGAUGUUCUGCAGCUGCAGCAGAGAAAGCAGAUUGUGCUGCUUCAUUGAGGAAAAUGUGGUCAUGUAGGGAAAGUGCUCAGCUGAGAUUUGCAAAGCCACAGAAGGGAAAAGCUCAGGUCCAUUAGCAGGUGUUCAAACCAGGGUGACCUGGUAAGUCCCAGGCUUAUCUGAUAUUUUUUGUUCUUACAGGGGGAACUCAGAGCUGUAAUGUGACUGAGGGUGGUCAGGAGGGAAUGUGAAGCCAUAUUUUCAGCCUGUUCCUUGUCCAUAGCUGAGCUGACUGGAUCAAUCUGCGAUAGGAGAAAAGGCAUUCAUGAAGGUUUCACAGAAUGCAGUAGUUGAGGAAGUUGCUGGAAAAUCUUUGUGGGUCCGGGAGGAACAUCAGACCAGCUUUACCAUCCUAACACCUUGUCCUGCCAAAAACUCCAAAACCAUUAACUAUUGACACAUAUAACCAAGAAGAUUUAUGCAUGUGAACGCUGAAGGCAGUGGUGAAAUUCUGCGCUAGAGAACAGUUGCACAGCAGUGAUUUGUGAAACACUAUGAAGCUGCAUCCUGAGAACAGGAAAAAAAGAAUGCAUGAGCUCCGUUGCCCUGGUUUGUAGAACUGACAACUUGGGGAGCCUGUGCUGGCUGCAGCGGGUAUGUGUGCAUAGUGAGUAGAACAGCCCUUGUUUUAAUUUGUAUUGAUCAUGUACGCAGGGAUUUUCCAAGAUAAUCUAAGGGAAUACACAGCCCAAUUCAAUAAGAUAUGGUGAUUGUAUUUCCCUCAUGGUCCUUGUUAAUUUACUUUAAAAAUAUCUUUUGCUUUAGUAUAUAAAUGCUCCAGAAAAAUAUUUACAGUGAAUGGCUGCCUGAUUUCUUUUGAAAUCUACCCAAUUAACACAACACGACAAAAUAUUACAAAUUGGAAUCAUAUGCAUGAUUUUUCAGUCAUCAAUGA